Molecule: non-coding RNA, 23 nt
Filed under: Rattus norvegicus (Norway rat)
Lineage: Eukaryota; Metazoa; Chordata; Mammalia; Rodentia; Muridae
Source: RNAcentral
ACUUCCUACUGGGCACUUACCUG